GAUGAACGCUAGCGGCAGGCUUAACACAUGCAAGUCGAGGGGUAGAGGAAGCUUGCUUCCUUGAGACCGGCGCACGGGUGCGUAACGCGUAUGCAACCUACCUUUUACAGAGGGAUAGCCCAGAGAAAUUUGGAUUAAUACCUCAUGGUAUAUAUCAUUCGCAUGUUUGAUAUAUUAAAGUUCCAACGGUAAAAGAUGGGCAUGCGUCCUAUUAGCUAGAUGGUAAGGUAACGGCUUACCAUGGCAACGAUAGGUAGGGGUCCUGAGAGGGAGAUCCCCCACACUGGUACUGAGACACGGACCAGACUCCUACGGGAGGCAGCAGUGAGGAAUAUUGGACAAUGGGCGCAAGCCUGAUCCAGCCAUGCCGCGUGCAGGAAGAAGCAUCUAUGGUGUGUAAAACUGCUUUUGUACGGGAAGAAACACUCCUUCGUGAGGGAGCUUGACGGUACCGUAAGAAUAAGGAUCGGCUAACUCCGUGCCAGCAGCCG
This 491-nucleotide ribosomal RNA is filed under the name uncultured bacterium. Its description in RNAcentral is "bacterial SSU rRNA". It matches the Rfam family "Bacterial small subunit ribosomal RNA", at positions 28 to 517 of the family's 1533-position model. The record is from RNAcentral.